This is a long non-coding RNA of Uloborus diversus, 4803 nucleotides long. RefSeq lists it as uncharacterized. The transcript is spliced from 4 exons. The record is from RefSeq and is a predicted model, not a curated record. Lineage: Eukaryota; Metazoa; Arthropoda; Arachnida; Araneae; Uloboridae.
AUGUCAAUGGAUUAUGACAGCCUUUAUUCUAAUUUAGCAAUCCUUUUGUAGAUUAUCGAAUUAUUAUAUUCUCCACAAGUAGUCAGAAAAUGUUACGUGAAAUCUAUUUUUGUUUUUACAGUAUGUUUUUGCUCCAGAUGUAAUUAAUUUAUAUUUUGUUAUACCUCUGUGGGCACUGCUUACUGUGGAACCAUUUUUUUUCUGUUUGAUUAUAGUAGCGUGAAUCACAAACAUGAGUAAAAGAUACUUCGUUAUUUCAAUAUUGCUAUUAUACCUUGUAUUUUGCUUUAUGUUCGAAAGCUCUGAAGCUGGGAAAGCAGGGAAAAUUGCAAAAACAGUUUUAAAUUUGGGCUGACAAUUUAAUUUUGUUUCUUUUGGUAAGUUUUGUUUGCUUUGUUUACUUCAGAUCAUAGGUGAUUUAAACUUGGUAAGAAUAUCUUUUGCUAAUUUUAUUUAACAUGCAUGCAUAAUCAUCCCCUUCUCCACAUGCUCUUAAAAAAAAAAGUUAAUAAUUUAAUUUUAUUCUAUGUUAAAUGUUGCUAUAGACUUACAAAAUAAUAAAAAUGACUAGGUAAAUUGAUUGAUGGACUUUGAUCUUGUUAGCAUUCAUGCAAAUGUCAGGUUUGAAAACUGUUCACUGACAUCUGCGGUCAGUCACAAUUUACUGUAAUUUUUUUUUUCAAUGUAAUCUUUAACAUUAUUGAUUCAACCACCUGUUACUAUUAUCCAUAACACAAAAUCUUUAACCAACAACGACUCUUUUGCUGUUUAACUCUUAUGAUGUGCUCAAAUAGGAGUUAUGUCUUAUUCAAUAUGUAUAUGUAAGAUUACUCUUAUAUUUACAUCCUUAGAAGUCUUCAAGGGGACACCUUUCUUUUGAGGUGCUGUGCACUGAAGAAUGAACAAAAUUAAAUUAGUUCUGCUUGAAUGUCAAAAAAAUAUUUGCUCAAAUGUAUUUUACGCUUUUUUUAAAUGAAAUUACAGGUAUUGAGCACUGAUAUAUUACAAUAAAUUGAAAACUAUGCUGAUAGAUUACAGUAAAUACAGUAUAAAAACCUCUUCGAAGCUGCAUUAAAAGUAUUAAAUUCCCCCCUUUAAAUUAUAACAGAAGUUUAUCAUACAUUACUUUAUGAUUAAUACUAAAAUGUAACAAUUGAACAUACAUUGUAAUUGUGCAUAAUCAUACUAAAAUAUCUAAGAUUCCUAGAUUUGUGGAGGUUUUACUGUAUUUAUUUUGACAUUUUUACUAAUUUAUACUUAUCAAUAAAACACUCUUUGUAGAGCAAGUGUAAUGAAAAAUGCUAUGGGCCACAAAUCUCAUAUGGGACGACGAUCAUUUCCUACAUGGGCCAUUGUCCUUCUUGUCCUUGGAUCUUCUUCAUGUGUUGGUUUGAUUAUUUUUCUUCUUUGUCUCUGGAAAAGUCGCAGGUGUCUAACGCCUUGGUCUGGGGCCGCUGUGUAAAAAGAAAAAGAAGCUGAGUACAUAAAUACAAUUUUUAGUAUUUGUAUCAAUUUCUAAUUCUUGAUCAUUCAAAGUACUCACUUAAGUAAUAUUACAUUAAUGAACCUUCAUAUUACAUUUUGAUAUUCAAUAAAGUAAUUUUUUUUUUCUAAAAGCUCCCUGAAAGCAUUUCCCACUUAACAUGGUCAUUGAAAAAAAUUAUCGGAUAAAUCUUAAAUAAUCGGAUAGAAUUUAAACAUGCUGCAGUGCUCAAGCCCCCCCCCCCCCCCCAGCUCAAAAAAAAAAAAAAAGGAGUUGAACACCAUAAUAUUAUCUUUUAAAGGGAAUUUUAUAAAAUUAACAUAAUUUUUAAUUUAAAAGGCAUGAAAAUACAAACCAUUACUAUUUUUUACACCCAUUAAUAACCCUUUAAGAUCCAUAAGCUUUUAAGGUAGAGAUCAGACAUUUUUUAUGCAUGAAUAUAUUAAAUGUUACAGUCAGUAAUACAUAUCUAGUUAUGAAAAUUGGUUAGAUUUUGUAUAAAUUGGUGAUCCAUUAGAGAUGCAGACCAAUUUUUUAAACCUUGGUUAAUUUAUUAAAUUAAAAAAUAUUUGGAUAAUUAAGAGCAUUAGCUACAUUUAACCUUCAACUAAGAUGUAAUCUUGGAUAAAAGUUGGAGUGUGACAGUACUAAUAUAUUUUCAAUUAACGCAUUUCACAGUUGCAAUAUUCUCAAGAUAAAAUAACGGUUUAUUUUUUAAAUUGUCUUUUUUCACUAAUAUUGAAAUCCUGAUGUCUCAAUGGCAUUUGAAAAAAUGUAAUUUAUGAAUUAUUUGCAUUCAGUAAUUUAUAAAACAACUUUUGAACCUGGGGGUCACAUAUGUCAGUUGGACCUAAAACGGUUAAUAAAUGAGCUUUCGUAUGGCUAACACAGGUUAAUUUUUUUUUAAAUCAGAUAAACAUCACAUUGGGUAGAGGUUGCAAUACAAAAAGUAUCCUAACCAGACGGCUGAUGCUUUUCUUAUCCAAGUCUAGUCACUAUUCUGACCCUUGCAGUAGUCUUCAAAACUGACCAAUUUGUUCAUGUGACCUCAACUCUUGUGAGUACUUCCUCUUGGUAUUUUUGAAAUUGGUAGUGGGGAAAAAAUUCAAAAUUGAGGUAUAGAAGAACAUAUUAUCAACCACAGUAAGUGUGUGAAAAGGCAAUUAAAAAAUUUCUCAUUUCGAGGAAAGUGCCGCAAAACCAAGUCUAAAACGAUGGUUGCUAAAAUUUGUAUUUCCUACUUCAAUUGGAACAUUUACCCAGUGUAAUGGUGUAAAAUUGUUUUCUAUUUCGUAAUUAUAUACUGUUUUUCUAAAAAAGUAAAUGCAUCUUUAUUUGCAGGCUCUUUAUACACAGUAAUAUUAAGUUGCUAUAACAUGAAAUGAUUUCUUUCAAGUUAAAAUUUAAGCAUUUGAAUCUUACAGAUUGUCAGUUUGUACUCCAGCUUUCCGUGAAUUUUCAAACCUUUAUUUGUAUAACAGUGCCAAAGCUUUCAUUAUUUGUUUUGUAAAUAGUCAUUAAUAAUGAAAUGGUCACUAGUCCUCUUUUAUAAGAUUUAUUUAUUUUUUGGCAUGAUAGAACUAUUAGACUUAUGCAAAAAAUAAAAGUCUCGUCUCAUACUUCUCAUGUGAAAACGUUAUAGCACUAAAUUAUUUGGCAUAGAAAAAUAGUUUGUACAUUUGUUUUGCUUUUUGUACAAGAAUUUAAUGUAGUGUCUAUUGCAUUUAAUGUUAUUAAACCUAACAUGAAAGUUGUAAAUUUUGUUUAUUAUAAUUCACAAAACCCAUGUCAAACUCACUAUUUUAAGAUGAAAACGAGUUGAUCAUCUGACUUUUUAUAAGUUUUUAUAAGUGUUUUAUGAAUACUUAGUUUAUAGCGAAAAUUCGUUUAUAUUUUGUAAACUUGGAUUUUGUAAAUUUUUAGGACUUCUCAGUGAAAAUUUUUCAGAAAUGUAGGCCAACAUUCAUGCUUAAAAUGAAAACUUUUCGAUUCAUAACAUUACAAAUGAGUUCUUCGUCAAUUUAAAAGUUUUUAAAAUAGGAAAUUUUAUUAGAAUCUUUAUUUUUCUAAUUGCAUAAUUUAAAACUUUUUGAUUAUCUAUUUAUAUGUAUAUGUACGUAUACACAGAAACUUAUAAUCAUAUACAUGAAUUUUAAAUUCUGUCACAAGGUCACACAUGUUUUGUUAACAAUUUAGAUUGAAACAAAAUAAAAAUCAAAUACUCGUUAAGUUAUUGGAUGUUUUCUAAGAAACAUUCUUUAAAAAGAAAAACCCACCCAAAUUGCUUCAAUGAUUGUUACAGAGAUAUACUUUUUAAAACUGUGUUCUUCUAUUUUAUACACAUAGUUUAAGAAAUGUUAACUCUUACCUUAUGAUGAAAACUACGUUUCCGAAUCAUUUAAAUAUCCACUACAUAAUUUUUAAUAUGAUUAAUGGUUAUUUUAAUCAAAUACCAAAAAAGCCAAAUCUAUAUAAAUGUUUUCUACUUCAGUAUUACUCUUCCCUAAAUACAUAUGUAUAAUAAACAAUUAUAGCUUUCAUUAAAGACUAUUUUGUAUUCUGAUUGAUGUUGACUUUAAACAUGCAAAAAUAAUUGUGCUUAAUAUAUAUUUGAACAAAAUGUUAGUUUUUAUAAUGAUAUUCAUAUAAAAGUCAUCUUCUACAUAUUUAUAAAUAAUAUACAAUAUCAACCAUUAACCUGGUAAGUUAUAUUGGUUUUUAUCAAGUUAGAUUUUAUUUCUAGCAGAAACAUGUAUGAAAUAAUCAAAGAUGUAGCUAUAAAAAUAUAUUUGUUAGAAAAUUAACUGCUAGGUAAAGUUUCUUCCAAACACUAAAUCAGUUCCACCGGGAAAAUAUAUUAUUUUAUAACAAAAUCAUAAUAGCAUGAAAAAAGGGUAUUUUAAAAAAAAUUUAUUGAAAAUUUAAUAAUUAGUCAUGAGGAAAUUUUUCUGAUUACUAUACAAUCUAUGCAUUUCUAAAAUCAUAACACAGAUCAUUAAUAUAAUGUGAAUUUCUGAAAGAGAAAAGUAAUUCCACCGAAAAUAUGACGAUAUAAUUAAAGUCAUGUCUUGAAACAUUACAAUAUUUUACAUAAUUGAAUCCCACCUCUAUUUUAUACUGUACAGCACCUGUAUUUUGUACUGUGCAUGUGCAUAUUUGUGAUAUAUUUAUAUGUUAAAAAUAUAAUUGAUAUAUAAGAGUAUAAAUUGCAAUGAAUUGAUGAAUUAAAUGUUUAUUGCCAUAAAUUAUCCAUCACAUGUUUGUUAUUUGUUAUAUCAUGUUUAAGUGAAAAAUAAAAGUAUAUUAACCGUAAAGACUUA